Molecule: non-coding RNA, 207 nt
Organism: Pelobates cultripes (western spadefoot toad)
Lineage: Eukaryota; Metazoa; Chordata; Amphibia; Anura; Pelobatidae
Source: the annotation of a GenBank genome assembly
CUUUGUUUUUGCUUGAAUGACCCUUACCUCAAAUAUACAUAGAUGCAUCUUCACCAUUCCUUAGGUUUUAUUCCAGUCCCAUCUGACCCUAAUAUAUUUAUAUCUCUCCCUCAGCCUGAUUUAAAAUCUAUCCAGCCCCAGACUUGCAAGCAACACAGAGGUCCAUCAACUGUUCUACUGCCAUAUGCAACAAGUAGCUUUCAGGCU